AUGCUGAUGAAGAAGGUGGCCGUGGUUGCUGCACUGCUGCUGUUCCUCCCGUUCGUCGUCAAGGCUAAGGAUGGCAAUGUGGCCGGAUGGAAGCCGAACGAGAGACCGGAAGCUCUGGGAUCGGGCCUGACAGCGCCGUCGUUCGUCUUCAACGUGACCGAGGCAAAUUACGUGCCGCUCAGACUGAACGUGGCUGCUUCAGGCAAAGGUUACACAGCCUUCAUGAACGAGUUGCACCAGAGGCUGGUCGACACGAGGAGGAACCAGUGGACCAUCAGGCCUCGUUUGGUUUUUUUAGGGGGAAAAGAUAACUUUAUUAAUUAA
Molecule: ribosomal RNA, 324 nt
Filed under: Triticum aestivum (bread wheat)
Lineage: Eukaryota; Viridiplantae; Streptophyta; Magnoliopsida; Poales; Poaceae
Description: partial small subunit ribosomal RNA
Source: RNAcentral